RNAcentral lists this long non-coding RNA (484 nucleotides) under Homo sapiens (human). RNAcentral's name for it is "HSALNT0100360". The record is from RNAcentral. Lineage: Eukaryota; Metazoa; Chordata; Mammalia; Primates; Hominidae.
GUUUUGUUCACAUUCUUUGGAAUCAGAAGUGGAAUUCAAGCAACACUGAUUCUUCUCCUGAUGCUGUCCUGAACCAACACAUUGGGAUCUUCAAGGGUCCUUUGAGUUCAGUUGUCUUCUCAGAGAUGCCAGGAAGCCUCAGGUGUAUGCAUGUCUGUUCGUAUGUUGUCUACAUAAUACCAAGUUGACUUCGUUUGUUCGUUCGUGUGUUUUUGUUGAGCUACCGGGCCUGGCCCCACAUUGACUUUUAAAUAAAUACAAGAAACAGGUUCAGGGAGCAAAAGGUUUCCAGCAGCAAGAGGUUGCCAAGAAGAUAAACACCAACCCACUUACUCACCAUCCAAUAUCACCAGCCACCAUUGACAUAACAAGGAAAGGAAAGCUGUCUCAGCAGGGUUCAUGUGGUGGUCAGAUAAGAAAAUGUGUUUGAACUGUCUAGAUGAUAUUAAUUGGAUCCCUGCUUAUUUCUUUAAAUAAAUGUUUG